GGAGGAGAGAGGGACCCUAGGAGGGAUGUAAAGGAGUUGAUGAAAUCCUGUCAAGACAGACAAUCAGAUUGUAUGGCCUCUGAGGACCCCCAAGACCAACUGGAUGAGGCUAUUAAAAAGGCAGAAUGGCUUGCUGAGGAGCUCAACCAAUAGAAGGACCCACAAGCCCAACUGGAAGAGGCCAUUAAUGAGGCAAAAGGGCUGGCUGAGGAGCUCAACCCAUGUAACAAGUCGUACAUUACUGGUAAUGUAACCCCUUUAGCUCCCAUACGUGCAGAAAUAUUCCCAACACAACCCCAGCACCACAGCGUUAUGAUUCAUCAUUGCAUUUUGUUUGUCAAAGUAGAACCCACAUGGCACAAAUGUACAUUUACAUGUAGACUCCGUGAUAUGACCUGAUCACAGUCAUCAAUGAUAUUGCCCAUUGAGCAUGAGGCACAAGGGUGCACUUGUUAGCAUCCUUGUGAACUUCUACACAUGUUGGCUGUGUGAGUGAGCCAGAACGUGGGUCUACUGCAGGUGUCUUUCCUCAGCUGACAAAUCACUUCACCUUAUGUGAAAAUAAAAGUCUUGCUUGUGCUCCAUAUGUGCAUAAGCAAGCCAUGCUUGUGGGAGACUUUUAUUAGUGGGCCAGCCAUGAUGAUUGAAAUGCACUUUUUAGGAAAAUAAGAAAAGACAAACAAGCCUCCAGGGAUUAGGUUCAGAUGGAGACAAAGGGAUGAGAGAGGACAGAUUGUUCCUCAAACCAGGAAGGCAACUACAUCCACUUCUAUAGCUCCUAGGGCCAGCAUACCAAGAGCCAGACUAGUGCAACCUUCUGGGCCAGUCACUGAGGAGGAAGAAUCAGGUAUUGAUGAGCGAUUGAAUAGAUUAAUAUAUACAAUUCCUUGUUAUUCAGUGGCCUUAAAUAAUUUAUUGUAUUUUUAUUUUUAUUAAAGCCGUAAUCAGUAGUUGAGACAAUAACAAA
Salmo salar (Atlantic salmon) is the source of this 967-nucleotide non-coding RNA. The record is from RefSeq and is a predicted model, not a curated record. NCBI's taxonomy places the organism in Eukaryota, Metazoa, Chordata, Actinopteri, Salmoniformes, Salmonidae.